This 96-nucleotide ribosomal RNA is filed under the name Sinocyclocheilus anshuiensis. The record is from RNAcentral. Lineage: Eukaryota; Metazoa; Chordata; Actinopteri; Cypriniformes; Cyprinidae.
AUAAAAAAAAAAAUCUCGUCUGAUCUCGGAAGCUAAGCAGGGUCGGGCCUGAUUACUUCUUGGAUGGGAGACUACCUGGGAAUACCAGGUGCUGUA